This 219-nucleotide long non-coding RNA is filed under the name Elaeis guineensis (African oil palm). Its description in RNAcentral is "long non-coding RNA (EGUI_LNC050230)". The record is from RNAcentral. Lineage: Eukaryota; Viridiplantae; Streptophyta; Magnoliopsida; Arecales; Arecaceae.
UUAUAUCCUUCAAUCCUAUAUGGUCAUACCUGAAUAAUACUAUCCUUAUGGAUAGCACAACAAGGCAGCACUACUAGAAUAUGCCAUAAGCAUCACUAAGUCAACAUCAUACCAAUCACUAUAGCAAGCCUUGUGGAUAGCACAACAAAUUCACUAUAGUUUUUGACAUACUCUAUUGACCUAGUAUGAGCUAAAUAUCAUUAGCUUCAUAAUACACCA